Molecule: long non-coding RNA, 1197 nt
Filed under: Oryctolagus cuniculus (rabbit)
Lineage: Eukaryota; Metazoa; Chordata; Mammalia; Lagomorpha; Leporidae
Description: lncRNA (ENSOCUG00000032191.1)
Source: RNAcentral
AUGUGUGUGUGUUCCUAUCUCUGUCACUCUGCCUUUCAAAUACAUAAAUCAUAUUUUUUAAAAAGAAAUACAGAAUUGCCAUAUCAUAAGCUGAUUUUUAUUUGCAUCCUUAUCCUGCCACACUGGCAAAAAAUGUAUCCCAGUUGCCAGAAGUUCAGUCCCCAUUUGCCCAGGACAGUUCACCAAUCGAAGAGAGAUUAUUUAGUACCCAGAUCACUUGGGCAGAUGGGAGGGACUGGGGUCCAAAGGCACGGGUAUCAACAAACAGUACUUCACCCAUUUGCUCUCCUCUUGCCUGUCCACAUGCUGAGGUUCGUGUCCAUGUGGCCCAUGGAGCCUCACUUCUCUGUCCUACUUCUGGUCUAUUGUGAAGUCCUUGGGCCAGAACAGGCUGGGAUUCUCAGCCAGGCUUUCUGCAGCCCACCUUAUGAUCUGACUCAGACCCAGCCCGCAGAGUCUCUUCCAGGUCCCCAGGCCUAUGGUCACAGAGGGAGGCUGCAGAACCCCUCUCCUCUCCAGCACUCCAAACCCGCCACAGCUGCACGGGCCCCCGGGGCCUCUCUUCCAAUGGGGUGCACAAUGACUGAGAACUGCUGCUGGCUUUUCUGCCCCCCUGGUUGCCUCUCCCUGCCUUUCUCCUCCUCACAGAGCCUGGUCAUCCAGCCCAGAGGACUUUUUGCUACUCCAGGGUCAAGAGAGCAGGGGGUGCAGAGGCUCCUCUGGGUUGACCUUGAGCAUCUCCCCCAGAGGCGCUCCCACUUCCCCUAUGGUCAUGCUUUCCUGUUCCCGCCCCCCACCACCACCACCAGCAUGGAACCAGUGACCGGCAGACCACUUUGUCCUGUGCAGCUCACCCCUGAGGCACUCACCACAGAAGGAAAUCCAGCCUGGACAAGGCGGAGGGAAGCAAAGGUGGAAUUAGAAGGAUUUUUUUUAACUGGUGAAGCUUUAAAAAAAGCAUUAUUUUCCACAAAUGCAAAUACCAUGUGCCAAGCUAGAGGUCUAGGAAAUGUUAGCAAAUACCUUGAAAAAGAGAGGAGACACAGGUGUCAAAGGGCACUCGUGAGAAUGCAAGCAACACGGGUUACAUGGACAGGCUGGAAACAGAGGGAGGAUGCUAGGGCUCGGCUGCUCUCUUGGUUGGGAGACCCUUCUCCUCCCUCUGGCCAUCUGGGUAUAGCUUCACAGGGGUCUUAG